CGGAGCCCCGAAGGCCACUCUGACUCGCGCUCUUCCCUCUCUGUCCCUCUGGCUCCCAACCAAGAAAUAGCCACGACGGCGACACGUCUAGGUAGACGGAACGGAACCGGUUGCGUGCUGUACGGAGCAUGGGGCUCCUCGACCAGCUCUGGGACGAGACUGUCGCCGGCCCGCGGCCGGACCACGGCCUCGGCAGGCUCCGCAAGUACUCCUCCUUCUCGCCCUCGACCGCGGCGGCCGCGGACGUCGCGCCGGCGGUGACCCACAGCAUCACUAUCGCCCGGCCGCCAUCUCUCUCGGUGCCAUCCGGCGAAUCAAGCUCCGUGCCGCCGUCCCCGGCCAGCGCGCCGGACUCCCCGUUCGCAGCAGCUACCAGUAGCAUACGGAAAGUGGACGGAUGGAGGGCGUUCCGCCGGAAAUCCAAGAUGGCCAACGUCGACGUCGUCCGGGCGGAGGCGACCGUCGGGCCCAGGAGCCCCACCGUGUACGACUGGGUGGUGAUCAGUUCAUUGGACCGAUGAAGCAGCACGCCCAAGGUACGAAAUAAUCGACCGAUGCCGAUGAAGCAGAGGAGCUUAGCUGGUGUGUUUGAGGCCGUGUGUUCGUCAUGUCAUAUGCAUACCUGCUGUGUAAUCGUUGUGUUAAUUAGAUGCACUUUCCUUCUUCUUCUUUUUUAUGUAGUUGUGCGUCCCUUUGGGCUGCGAAAGUAUGUGAUGGCAGUAGCUCCGGUUGAGGCAAUCGAGAUGUUUUGCCUUCACGAGGCAAGGCACCUUUUGGUGUGUGUGGAGGAGAUGAGCGCUGAAAUGAGGAUGCAAUGCAAGUGUACAAUCAUGCUUCGUUUUCUUACUAUCAUUGUCCAUGUACUACCUCCGUCCCGGUGUAUAAGUCAUUCGCGUAGUUCUACGUCGAUAAUUUAACUAUCUAAAUAUGUAUUAUAUGUGACAAAAAAUAUAUAUUUAAAAA
This 963-nucleotide ribosomal RNA is filed under the name Triticum aestivum (bread wheat). RNAcentral's name for it is "partial small subunit ribosomal RNA". The record is from RNAcentral. Lineage: Eukaryota; Viridiplantae; Streptophyta; Magnoliopsida; Poales; Poaceae.